UACGUAGGGUGCAAGCGUUAAUCGGAAUUACUGGGCGUAAAGCGUGCGCAGGCGGUUAUACAAGACAGAGGUGAAAUCCCCGGGCUUAACCUGGGAACUGCAUUUGUGACUGCAUGGCUAGAGUGCGGCAGAGGGGGAUGGAAUUCCGCGUGUAGCAGUGAAAUGCGUAGAUAUGCGGAGGAACACCGAUGGCGAAGGCAAUCCCCUGGGCCUGCACUGACGCUCAUGCACGAAAGCGUGGGGAGCAAACAGG
This 253-nucleotide ribosomal RNA is filed under the name uncultured bacterium. Its description in RNAcentral is "partial 16S ribosomal RNA". It matches the Rfam family "Bacterial small subunit ribosomal RNA", at positions 524 to 776 of the family's 1533-position model. The record is from RNAcentral.